This 492-nucleotide ribosomal RNA is filed under the name uncultured bacterium. RNAcentral's name for it is "partial 16S ribosomal RNA". It matches the Rfam family "Bacterial small subunit ribosomal RNA", at positions 30 to 507 of the family's 1533-position model. The record is from RNAcentral.
AUUGAACGCUGGCGGCAUGCUUUACACAUGCAAGUCGAACGGUAACAGGCCUUCGGGUGCUGACGAGUGGCGAACGGGUGAGUAAUGCAUCGGAACGUGCCCAGAGGUGGGGGAUAACGCAGCGAAAGCUGUGCUAAUACCGCAUGUGAUCUGAGGAUGAAAGCGGGGGACCAGGCAGCAAUGUUUGGCCUCGCGCCUUUGGAGCGGCCGAUGUCAGAUUAGGUAGUUGGUGGGGUAAAGGCCUACCAAGCCGACGAUCUGUAGCUGGUCUGAGAGGACGACCAGCCACACUGGGACUGAGACACGGCCCAGACUCCUACGGGAGGCAGCAGUGGGGAAUUUUGGACAAUGGGCGCAAGCCUGAUCCAGCAAUGCCGCGUGCGGGAAGAAGGCCUUCGGGUUGUAAACCGCUUUUGUACGGAACGAAAAGGUUCUGGCUAAUACCUGGGGCUGAUGACGGUACCGUAAGAAUAAGCACCGGCUAACUACGUG